CCUCCAGUCACGUGGCUGACAUUGGCCUCGGGGAGACCGCGCGGUGAGGACCGGGACUCCUGUCAGUGGCUCUCAGUCAGCGAUCCAGAUUGAUAACUAUGGCUGUGGCUACAGAAGUUAUGUAUGAACCUACAAUUGAAUUUAAAGAGAGCAAGGAGGACAAAUCUUUGAUAAGUGAUUUCAUAAAACUGCAACCAGGGAGACAAUAUCUGCAGCAUAUAGUUACCAAUGUGGUAAAACACAGAGGAAAAGUGAUACGUAAUAAUAAAUCAUCAAUCCAAUUGGAACUUACAAUUGGACAGCUGGAAGACACUGUUUAUUUUGGAAGAGAUGACAUGCUGGAAAGUUGGCAAGAGUUCUAUCUGCCGGAGAGAAUGGAUAUGAUUGUAUUGGGCACUAUUGAUAAUUUGCCUUGUUUAGCACAAGCCCUUCAGCUUGUUGUUCUUGUUGGCCAGGAUGGUUCAGUGUUUGCUUAUGAAGAGGAAGUGCUGCACAAAAUUGCCAAAAACGUGCAGGAGCUUUUUGAGAAAGGACCAACAUUUCCAGGAAUUGAAGUCUACGAAUAUGGCAGUGGAUACAGACCAAAGACUAAUGAAGAAUACAUGGCAGCACUGAAAAAAGCAGGCUUGGAUGUCAUUUCAGAAGAAACAAAGGCCUUUGUUAAAGGCAAUGCAAAUGAGAUUAUGAAACUGUUUACUUAGCUGGAUUUUUUGUAAUGUGGCAUUUUAAAUGCUUGUCUUUCUGCUUAGUAGUUUGCAUGAUUGUGAGAAAUGAGAAUAUUUAUUCUUAUCAUUGAUUUUAAAUUUAGAUUCAGCACAUUGUAUUUAAUACUGCGGUGUAAACUAUCAUUGUGUAUAAUAUACAUUUUUGGGAACAAGAGAUUAGCUACAAACCUUGGAAAGAAUUGCAUUAUCUUUGCAGAAGAAGCUUGCUCCUAAAAAAUGAGUUUGGAUAUAAAAAAGAAUGGAUCAGGUUUAUAUUUUUGACACUGUGCUUGUAAUCGGACUCAUUCAUGAAAAGAUCAGAGUGUCAAAGGAAUUGUCAGGCUUGACAUGUGCCUUAUAAACAUCCUUGUAUCCCUUGCUGUCAUGUUUUACUGCAACUUGCAUUUACAUCGUGCCCUUCAUGCAGGGUAGUGACAGUGGCGGAACAUGAUGCUGAGACGGGGGAGCGGAAGCUCACCAAACGCGGGGAGAGAUCCAGGAGGACGAGGAGGGAGACUCCUCCAGUGCUUUGGACCUUGCUGUGCCUGGCAUUGAUGACCUCGGGGUCAUGAUUGAAGAAAGCUGAGCUCCCUUAUCUCAAGUUCUUGUUUUUACUGAUGCGGUCAAGGAGAGAGGAAUGUUUUAAUGAGGUGGUCUACAUUAGUUGAAAAGUAAGGAAGAUGGCGUAUUGUGACGGGAUUGGAAAGUUAAUGAUUGAUUGGAAAGAAGAGGGGUGAGCAAAAAGAUCGGAAAAAUGCUCUAUAAGUAUUCGUUACUGAAUAAAGUUGAACCAACCUCAGAAAUAGAUGGAAGAAGACAAUAAAGACAACCGUUUUCUAGAUCAGAAAAUAUACCAUUCUGUAACUGCACUGGCUAUAUACAGAUCUCCUUCAUUAAAUUGUUUGUUGAAGGCA
Callorhinchus milii (elephant shark) is the source of this 1618-nucleotide RNA transcript. RefSeq lists it as uncharacterized. Lineage: Eukaryota; Metazoa; Chordata; Chondrichthyes; Chimaeriformes; Callorhinchidae. The record is from RefSeq and is a predicted model, not a curated record. The transcript has 6 exons.